UCUCUUAACAUGCCACAAAUUGCUUUUAAUAUUUCUGUGUGUUGUAAUAUUCAAGAUAAGUGUUAUCAUCGCUGAAGAAAUGGCAGAUGUUAAUCCUCAGACACCUGUGAACACCGAGCAGUGCUUGGAGUCCAAGACAGUGGACAUCAUCCUUAUUAUACUUCUCUGACUGGACUAGAGCCAAUGAGAAAAACUCAAAAGAAGAUACUAUGAAGAAUGCAGGUGCAGAAAUGAAAGCUCCCAAGCAAAGAACCCACCAGAUUAAGAUGUGGAAAGACGUUUCACAAUGACCACAACUCCUGAUAAAAGAUUUGGAAAAUGAGCAACAACCAAGGAACAAGUAAUCACUGAUUCACUCAAAAAUG
Molecule: long non-coding RNA, 365 nt
Organism: Sinocyclocheilus grahami
Lineage: Eukaryota; Metazoa; Chordata; Actinopteri; Cypriniformes; Cyprinidae
Exons: 3
Source: RefSeq, a predicted model, not a curated record